Transfer RNA from Ovis aries (sheep), 72 nucleotides. It matches the Rfam family "tRNA". From Rfam's summary of the family: Transfer RNA (tRNA) molecules are approximately 80 nucleotides in length. The record is from Rfam. Lineage: Eukaryota; Metazoa; Chordata; Mammalia; Artiodactyla; Bovidae.
UCCCUGGUGGCUCAGAGGUUAAAGCGUCUGCCGGCAAUGCAGGAGGCCCUGGUUCGAUCCCUGGGUCGGGAA